AUUGAACGCUGGCGGAAUGCUUUACACAUGCAAGUCGAACGGCAGCACGGACUUCGGUCUGGUGGCGAGUGGCGAACGGGUGAGUAAUGUAUCGGAACGUGCCCAGUCGUGGGGGAUAACGUAGUGAAAAUUACGCUAAUACCGCAUACGAUCUAUGGAUGAAAGCGGGGGAUCGCAAGACCUCGCGCGAUUGGAGCGGCCGAUAUCAGGUUAGGUAGUUGGUGGGGUAAAGGCCCACCAAGCCAACGAUCUGUAGCUGCUCUGAGAGGACGACACGCGACACUGGAACUGAGACACAGUGCAGACUCCUACGGGAGGCAGCAGUGGGGAAUUUUGGACAAUGGGCGAAAGCCUGGUCCAGCCAUACCGCGUGCAGGAUGAAGGGCCUCGGGUUGUAAACUGCUGUUGUACGGAGCGAAAAGGUUUCUACUAAUACUAGGAGCUCAUGACGGUACUGUAAGAAUAAGCACCGGCUAACUACGUGCCAGCAGCCGCGGUAA
This 500-nucleotide ribosomal RNA is filed under the name uncultured bacterium. RNAcentral's name for it is "partial 16S ribosomal RNA". It matches the Rfam family "Bacterial small subunit ribosomal RNA", at positions 30 to 523 of the family's 1533-position model. The record is from RNAcentral.